GAUGAACGCUGGCGGCGUGCCUAAUACAUGCAAGUCGAGCGAACGGACGAGAAGCUUGCUUCUCUGAUGUUAGCGGCGGACGGGUGAGUAACACGUGGAUAACCUACCUAUAAGACUGGGAUAACUUCGGGAAACCGGAGCUAAUACCGGAUAAUAUUUUGAACCGCAUGGUUCAAAAGUGAAAGACGGUCUUGCUGUCACUUAUAGAUGGAUCCGCGCUGCAUUAGCUAGUUGGUAAGGUAACGGCUUACCAAGGCAACGAUGCAUAGCCGACCUGAGAGGGUGAUCGGCCACACUGGAACUGAGACACGGUCCAGACUCCUACGGGAGGCAGCAGUAGGGAAUCUUCCGCAAAGGGCGAAAGACUGAAGGAGCAACGCCGCGUGAGUGAUGAAGGGCUUCGGAUCGUAAAACUCUGUUAUUAGGGAAGAACAUAUGUGGAAGUAACUGUGCACAUCUUGACGGUACCUAAUCAGAAAGCCACGGCUAACUACGUG
Molecule: ribosomal RNA, 497 nt
Filed under: uncultured bacterium
Lineage: Bacteria
Description: partial 16S ribosomal RNA
Rfam family: Bacterial small subunit ribosomal RNA
Source: RNAcentral